This 358-nucleotide unclassified non-coding RNA is filed under the name soil metagenome. RNAcentral's name for it is "partial contains 5.8S ribosomal RNA, internal transcribed spacer 2, and large subunit ribosomal RNA". The stretch from base 1 to 120 matches the Rfam family "5.8S ribosomal RNA", at positions 35 to 154 of the family's 154-position model. The record is from RNAcentral.
GAUGAAGAACGUAGCGAAAUGCGAUAGGUAAUGUGAAUUGCAGAAUUCAGUGAAUCAUCGAAUCUUUGAACGCACAUUGCGCCCGUCAGUAUUCUGGCGGGCAUGCCUGUUCGAGCGUCAUUACGCCCCUCAAGUCCCCUGUGGACUUGGUGUUGGGGAUCGGCGAGGCUGGUUUUCCAGCACAGCCGUCCCUUAAAUUAAUUGGCGGUCUCGCCGUGGCCCUCCUCUGCGCAGUAGUAAAACACUCGCAACAGGAGCCCGGCGCGGUCCACUGCCGUAAAACCCCCCAACUUUUUAUAGUUGACCUCGAAUCAGGUAGGACUACCCGCUGAACUUAAGCAUAUCAAUAAGCGGAGGA